GACGAACGCUGGCGGCGUGCUUAACACAUGCAAGUCGAGCGAGACCCAACCUUUCGGGGUUGUGUUCUAGCGGCGAACGGGUGAGUAACACGUGGGCAACCUGCCCUCAGCUCUGGGAUAACUCCAAGAAAUUGGGGCUAAUACCGGAUAUGACCGCUGACCGCAUGGUCUGGUGGUGGAAAGAUUUAUCGGCUGGGGAUGGGCCCGCGGCCUAUCAGCUUGUUGGUGGGGUAGUGGCCUACCAAGGCGACGACGGGUAGCCGGCCUGAGAGGGUGACCGGCCACACUGGGACUGAGACACGGCCCAGACUCCUACGGGAGGCAGCAGUGGGGAAUAUUGCGCAAUGGGCGAAAGCCUGACGCAGCGACGCCGCGUGGGGGAUGACGGCCUUCGGGUUGUAAACCUCUUUCAGCAGGGACGAAGCGAAAGUGACGGUACCUGCAGAAGAAGCACCGGCCAACUACGUGC
This 469-nucleotide ribosomal RNA is filed under the name uncultured bacterium. RNAcentral describes it as "bacterial SSU rRNA". It matches the Rfam family "Bacterial small subunit ribosomal RNA", at positions 28 to 508 of the family's 1533-position model. The record is from RNAcentral.